RNAcentral lists this small RNA (72 nucleotides) under Salix viminalis (osier). The record is from RNAcentral. Lineage: Eukaryota; Viridiplantae; Streptophyta; Magnoliopsida; Malpighiales; Salicaceae.
AGGUGGUAGAAGAAGAAAAUGAGUCGAACAUAACAAUGAUUUUAAAAAGAGUGUUAAUUAACUAUCUCACCU